This 330-nucleotide unclassified non-coding RNA is filed under the name plant metagenome. Its description in RNAcentral is "partial contains 5.8S ribosomal RNA, internal transcribed spacer 2, and large subunit ribosomal RNA". The stretch from base 1 to 108 matches the Rfam family "5.8S ribosomal RNA", at positions 48 to 154 of the family's 154-position model. The record is from RNAcentral.
GCGAAAUGCGAUAAGUAAUGUGAAUUGCAGAAUUCCGUGAAUCAUCGAAUCUUUGAACGCACAUUGCGCCCUCUGGUAUUCCGGGGGGGCAUGCCUGUCCGAGCGUCAUUGCGAACCCCUCAAGCACGGCUUGUGUGAUGGGCCCUCCCGCGUCUUGGUCGUCAAGACGGGCCCGAAAUGCAGUGGCGGCUUCGCGGUUAUCCGAUCAGCCAGAGCGUAUGGGGACUCUCUCUCUUGUCACACGCCCGCGGCGCGGACCGACGCCUGUCGACCUUUAUUCAUCUUCUCUCGGUUGACCUCGGAUCAGGUAGGGAUACCCGCUGAACUUAA